Long non-coding RNA from Erpetoichthys calabaricus (reedfish), 187 nucleotides. RefSeq lists it as uncharacterized. The record is from RefSeq and is a predicted model, not a curated record. The transcript is spliced from 3 exons. NCBI's taxonomy places the organism in Eukaryota, Metazoa, Chordata, Cladistia, Polypteriformes, Polypteridae.
UUUUCUUUGCUGGCUGCUCCUAUUACUGCACUCACUAAGAGAAGCACCAAGACAUUUUCUUGAACAUGUGAAACCAGCAGGUGUUUGAUAAUCUAAAGACUUGAUUCAUGUCUGCCGCCAUUUUGAGACACCCUGACCAAUUCAUGGAGGUCGAUGUGUUUAGUGUCAGUAUGGCAGCUGUGUUAUC